RNAcentral lists this long non-coding RNA (258 nucleotides) under Trifolium pratense (red clover). Its description in RNAcentral is "long non-coding RNA (TPRA_LNC006633)". The record is from RNAcentral. Lineage: Eukaryota; Viridiplantae; Streptophyta; Magnoliopsida; Fabales; Fabaceae.
UCCAGAUUCACAGGUUUUGUGGUUAUCGAUGUCGAGUCGUCGGUGAAGCUCUGCUCUGAUUGUGACACGGGAAAUGGUUGUAUUUAGUAUAUAGAGUCUUCAUGACUAUUUGUAUUUACUUUGGAAAAUGUAUCUUUAUAAAGAAGAUUUAUUUUGUAUAAAGCAUUUUUACUAAUUAACUACAUUAGUAUUAUUUUGAUUGAAGAAUGUAAUGCUCGAACCAUGACUUUUAUAAUAAUAAACUUUGAUUUUCCGCCG